CCAGGGCUGGUCUCCUUCAGAAUGGACUAGUUGGAUCUCCUUGCAGUCCAAGGGACUCUCAAGAGUCUUCUCCAUAGCACUUGUGUUUGUUUUUGUUUAAUUUAUGGACAAAGACUUACAGACAAGUGUGAAAGUAAAUCCUCUUUUGCAACCCACAACUCAUUGUUCAGUAUGAGUUUUGAUACAGAUAAGAAGGAACAUGAUCCAUAAAAUGGAUGUGUAAUGAUGAGCAUAAAGAUUGCUUCCAGGGCUGUAAAGCUAAAUAAACUUCUAAAUUACCAGCUAUAUUGAUCCUAGUACUCAGUUUUAAUGUUGACAUAAAACAAAGAUGGGCUUCUUUUUUUAGGCUUUUAUCUUCGGAAUACAGUGUCUGGAUUUUGCAAAGAUAUGUCUAAUGCUUUAGGUAUUGGCAUAUCCCAAUGAUCUGUGUCAAGUUUUAGGGUGUGAUAACUUAGGAAUUAAUAUGAUUUGAACUUGGAUCCUAUAGUAAACUGCUUGAGGAAAUUGGGUCUUUGAAGAUUACAGGUGGCAAACUUUGAAGUGAACUCCACUGAAGAUCUAAGAGGCCCAACUAAAACAACGUGGCAGGCAUCACAGCUGUGGAUUGAACAGAACUUUUUGAAAGGGCUACCUUGAAGAUGACAACCUUGGAGGAGCUAUGGUGAUUGGCAGUGGAAAGAAUCAGGACGUGUGAAAAAUCCUUAAAAAUUUAUUGACUUAAAUAACUUUGCCUAUGUUAUGAAUAAAAAGAAACCUUUGUGCAGAAA
Long non-coding RNA from Bubalus bubalis (water buffalo), 767 nucleotides. RefSeq lists it as uncharacterized. Lineage: Eukaryota; Metazoa; Chordata; Mammalia; Artiodactyla; Bovidae. The record is from RefSeq and is a predicted model, not a curated record. The transcript has 2 exons.